Molecule: ribosomal RNA, 655 nt
Filed under: uncultured Actinomycetes bacterium
Lineage: Bacteria; Bacillati; Actinomycetota; Actinomycetes
Description: bacterial SSU rRNA
Rfam family: Bacterial small subunit ribosomal RNA
Source: RNAcentral
CGCGGCCUAUCAGCUUGUUGGUGAGGCAAUAGCUUACCAAGGCGACGACGGGUAGCCGGCCUGAGAGGGUGACCGGCCACACUGGGACUGAGACACGGCCCAGACUCCUACGGGAGGCAGCAGUGGGGAAUAUUGCACAAUGGGCGAAAGCCUGAUGCAGCGACGCCGCGUGAGGGACGACGGCCUUCGGGUUGUAAACCUCUUUCAGUAGGGAACAAGGCAUCAUUUUUGUGGUGUUGAGGGUACUUGCAGAAGAAGCACCGGCUAACUACGUGCCAGCAGCCGCGGUAAUACGUAGGGUGCAAGCGUUAUCCGGAAUUAUUGGGCGUAAAGAGCUCGUAGGCGGUUUGUCGCGUCUGUCGUGAAAGUCCGGGGCUCAACUCCGGAUCUGCGGUGGGUACGGGCAGACUAGAGUGAUGUAGGGGAGACUGGAAUUCCUGGUGUAGCGGUGGAAUGCGCAGAUAUCAGGAGGAACACCGAUGGCGAAGGCAGGUCUCUGGGCAUUAACUGACGCUGAGGAGCGAAAGCAUGGGGAGCGAACAGGAUUAGAUACCCUGGUAGUCCAUGCCGUAAACGUUGGGCACUAGGUGUGGGGGACAUUCCACGUUUUCCGCGCCGUAGCUAACGCAUUAAGUGCCCCGCCUGGGGAGUACGG